RNAcentral lists this ribosomal RNA (515 nucleotides) under uncultured bacterium. RNAcentral describes it as "partial 16S ribosomal RNA". It matches the Rfam family "Bacterial small subunit ribosomal RNA", at positions 28 to 523 of the family's 1533-position model. The record is from RNAcentral.
GACGAACGCUGGCGGCGUGCCUAAUACAUGCAAGUCGAACGCUUCCUACCGGUGCUUGCACCGGGAAAGAAGAGUGGCGGACGGGUGAGUAACACGUGGGUAACCUACCUACAAGCGGGGGAUAACAUUCGGAAACGGAUGCUAAUACCGCAUAGAUCUUUUUGUCUCCUGGCAGAAAGAAGAAAGACGGUUUCGGCUGUCUCUUGUAGAUGGACCCGCGGCGCAUUAGUUAGUUGGUGAGGUAAUGGCUCACCAAGACGAUGAUGCGUAGCCGACCUGAGAGGGUGAUCGGCCACACUAGGACUGAGACACGGCCCAGACUCCUGCGGGAGGCAGCAGUAGGGAAUCUUCCGCAAUGGACGAAAGUCUGACGGAGCAACGCCGCGUGAGUGAAGAAGGUUUUCGGAUCGUAAAACUCUGUUGUUAGAGAAGAACAAGGAUGAGGGUAACUGCUCGUCCCUUGACGGUAUCUAACCAGAAAGCCAUGGCUAACUACGUGCCAGCCGCCGCGGUAA